UGGGGAAUAUUGGACAAUGGGGGAAACCCUGAUCCAGCGACGCCGCGUGAGUGAAGAAGGUUUUCGGAUCGUAAAGCUCUGUUGUAAGUCAAGAACGAGUGUGAGAGUGGAAAGUUCACACUGUGACGGUAGCUUACCAGAAAGGGACGGCUAACUACGUGCCAGCAGCCGCGGUAAUACGUAGGUCCCGAGCGUUGUCCGGAUUUAUUGGGCGUAAAGCGAGCGCAGGCGGUUUGAUAAGUCUGAAGUUAAAGGCUGUGGCUCAACCAUAGUUCGCUUUGGAAACUGUCAAACUUGAGUGCAGAAGGGGAGAGUGGAAUUCCAUGUGUAGCGGUGAAAUGCGUAGAUAUAUGGAGGAACACCGGUGGCGAAAGCGGCUCUCUGGUCUGUAACUGACGCUGAGGCUCGAAAGCGUGGGGAGCGAACAGGAUUAGAUACCCUGGUAGUCCACGCCGUAAACGAUGAGUGCUAGGUGUUGGAUCCUUUCCGGGAUUCAGUGCCGCAGCUAACGCAUUAAGCACUCCGCCUGGGGAGUACGACCGCAAGGUUG
This 550-nucleotide ribosomal RNA is filed under the name uncultured bacterium. RNAcentral's name for it is "bacterial SSU rRNA". It matches the Rfam family "Bacterial small subunit ribosomal RNA", at positions 355 to 896 of the family's 1533-position model. The record is from RNAcentral.